UGCACUAACGGACGUUACAUUCCCAUACAAAACUGCGUAGUUAAAGCUAAGGAAAAGUUAAUAUCAUGUUAAUUAAAUACGCUAUUUACAAUAAGACAUUGAACUCAUUUAUAUCGUUGAAUAUGAAUAACCAAUUUCAGCGAAUUUUUAACAAACAUCGUUCACCUCGUUUAAGGAUAUCUUGUGUAUGGGGUGUUGACUUGCUUUAUCGAAUAAUUACCGUACCU
Non-coding RNA from Schizosaccharomyces pombe (fission yeast), 227 nucleotides. The record is from the annotation of a GenBank genome assembly. NCBI's taxonomy places the organism in Eukaryota, Fungi, Ascomycota, Schizosaccharomycetes, Schizosaccharomycetales, Schizosaccharomycetaceae.